Molecule: ribosomal RNA, 253 nt
Filed under: uncultured bacterium
Lineage: Bacteria
Description: partial 16S ribosomal RNA
Rfam family: Bacterial small subunit ribosomal RNA
Source: RNAcentral
UACGUAGGUGGCGAGCGUUGUCCGGAUUUACUGGGCGUAAAGAGCGCGCAGGCGGUCGUGCAAGUCGCGUGUGAAAGCCCCCGGCUCAACUGGGGAGGGUCACGCGAUACUGCUCGACUUGAAGGCAGGAGAGGGAAGUGGAAUUCCCGGUGUAGUGGUGUAAUGCGUAGAUAUCGGGAGGAACACCAGUGGCGAAGGCGACUUCCUGGCCUGUUCUUGACGCUGAGGCGCGAAAGCUAGGGUAACAAACGGG